GAAACUGAUGGAAGGCUGCAGAGAGCUCGUGGACCUGGGAAAGAUUAGGCCCAGCUGGAGGGGUUUAAGGAAAUCUCCAGGCGGCUUCGGCAGAGAAGCUCUGAAAAGGGACUGCCUCUGGCUAGAGAGAGUUUAAUCUUUAUAGGUGUGCUGACACUUUUUUUGACUUUGUUUUUUUUGUAGCCAGGGAAGAGCAGAGACUUUAAUACUAUUGCUUCCCUUCGCCUGGCCGCUUUUAUUCUUCUUCCUGCUGUUUGACUUCUCUUCCCGCUUUUGGAGAAAGACUUGGCAGAGGAGAGCUCCCCUAGGCAUCUCCAGACCGGCGACCGUUGAUGUGCCCAGCGAUGUUUGUGGUAAUGACCAUACCUGAUGCGUUCCCAUUACCAGCAAGUGGACUAGAUUUGCAAUGUCUGCUACAUCUUCAAUAUCUAUAAUAAUCAGAAUAUCUGCCAACUCCUUCAGAUCUCUGUCAAAUGGAAAAACUUCUUCAUGAACUACCUGAAACUACAGAAAAACUUUGCGGCCUCUUCAUACAACUACUAUUAAUUAUGCCUCCUAUGUACUUUUAAAAGCCCGGAUAACAUAGGUUACUGCCAUGGCAGAAAUAAAUAACCAUUAAGCCUACUAAUUGUUGUUAUCAGGCAUAGUACAACCCUGAAGUUAAUAAGAGUGUUACUAAUUAAAUGUGA
Long non-coding RNA from Ornithorhynchus anatinus (platypus), 689 nucleotides. RefSeq lists it as uncharacterized. NCBI's taxonomy places the organism in Eukaryota, Metazoa, Chordata, Mammalia, Monotremata, Ornithorhynchidae. The record is from RefSeq and is a predicted model, not a curated record. The transcript has 3 exons.